Molecule: small RNA, 566 nt
Filed under: Pongo abelii (Sumatran orangutan)
Lineage: Eukaryota; Metazoa; Chordata; Mammalia; Primates; Hominidae
Description: retained intron
Source: RNAcentral
AGAAAUCAGGCUCUCUUAAGCUCACUAAUUUUGGUCAUUGAAGUGAACUGAAAUGAAAGGAUAUAAUUUAUUCUCUUGCUUCAUUACAGAAUCUUGCUGCUGAGAAAACAUACAAUAACCUAGAUAUCACAGUGACCCAGGCCCUUCAGCACCGUUCACAGUAUUUUGAAGGUGUUGUGAAGUGCAAUAAGCUGGAAAUACUGGAGACCAUUGUGGACAGAAUAGUAAGAGCUGAGGUCCAUCGGCUGGUGGUGGUCAAUGAAGCAGAUAGUAUUGUGGGUAUUAUUUCCCUGUCAGACAUUCUGCAAGCCCUGAUCCUCACACCAGCAGGUGCCAAACAAAAGGAGACGGAAACGGAGUGACCGCCGUGAAUGUAGACGCCCUAGGAGGAGAACUUGAACAAAGUUUCUGGGUCACGUUUUGCCUCAUGAACACUGGCUGCAAGUGGUUAAGAAUGUAUAUCGGUUUAACGAUGGGUAUUUCUUCCAGUGAUGUUGAAAUUAAGCUUAAAAAAGAAAGAUUUUAUGUGCUUGAAGAUUCAGGCUUGCAUUAAAAGACUUUUCAGA